RNAcentral lists this ribosomal RNA (253 nucleotides) under uncultured bacterium. Its description in RNAcentral is "partial 16S ribosomal RNA". It matches the Rfam family "Bacterial small subunit ribosomal RNA", at positions 524 to 776 of the family's 1533-position model. The record is from RNAcentral.
UACGUAGGUGACAAGCGUUGUCCGGAUUUACUGGGCGUAAAGAGCGCGCAGGCGGUCGAUCAAGUCGAGUGUGAAAGCCCCCGGCUCAACUGGGGAGGGUCAUUCGAUACUGAUCGACUCGAAGGCAGGAGAGGGUAGUGGAAUUCCCGGUGUAGUGGUGAAAUGCGUAGAGAUGUGGAGGAACACCGAUGGCGAAGGCAGCCUCCUGGGCCAAUACUGACGCUCAUGCACGAAAGCGUGGGGAGCAAACAGG